Long non-coding RNA from Ceratina calcarata, 308 nucleotides. RefSeq lists it as uncharacterized. NCBI's taxonomy places the organism in Eukaryota, Metazoa, Arthropoda, Insecta, Hymenoptera, Apidae. The transcript is spliced from 3 exons. The record is from RefSeq and is a predicted model, not a curated record.
CGCGUAACAAAUACGGUCCAAACCUUCGUCGUCAUCUUUGCCGAGCUGAUAAAGCAAAUUUUGAUAUCAACGCUAUUUCAUUCUGAAGUUCGUAUACAGCGAGUAGGAACUCCUUGUUGAACACAGGACCCAAUUUGAGAACGUCGGUUGUCGAAUUAUAAGGCACCUGAAUGCGAAGAAUUUUAGAAGUGAUAAAAUAAUAAUACAAGAAAAACAGAAGGGUUGAAACUGCGUAUCGAAGUAAUCCUUCUCGACUCUAGCUCUGCUAGUGGGUGCUGCCCAAAUUUCCGUUGGAUUGCUUAUUACUU